Myotis myotis is the source of this 2704-nucleotide long non-coding RNA. RefSeq lists it as uncharacterized. The record is from RefSeq and is a predicted model, not a curated record. The transcript is spliced from 3 exons. NCBI's taxonomy places the organism in Eukaryota, Metazoa, Chordata, Mammalia, Chiroptera, Vespertilionidae.
AGAGGCGCCGGCUGCUCCGCGCCCGCCCGGCCGCCCGCCCGCCCCGCCGGGAGGGGCCGCGCGCAGGGCCCGCCGAGCGCCGGGACCAGAGGCUGCCGCGCGCCCGGGGGAGGAGAUGCUGCGCCGCCGCCGCCUGCACCCGGGGGCCGCGAGGGGCCGGGCCAGGCGCCGGGACAGACCCGGAGAGCGCGGCCUGGGCCGGAGGAAGGGUGGCCUUUCCCGCAGAGUUGCAGCGAGAGCACUGAAAGUUUUCGCCUGCAGCCCUUGCAGGGUGUCCUGCCCUCGAGGGGCCUCCGCACGGAUCCCCGCGGCUGAGUGGGGCGGAGACGAGCAGGUUGGCCACCUCCGGCCCCCACCCCCACGACCACGCCAGGCCGGGGAAGGGACCCCGGUGACUUCGCAUCCCAUGCACCACCCCCUUGACCCGUCCUUCCCUUUCACGGGGGACCUUGGACCGUGGAGGGCUCCGCGAACGCCUCUGGGACCUGAGACCGGAGAGUGGAUGGAGGUGGUUCUACAGAGCAGCUACUGCCUGCAAUGGGCCAGGCGCCCUGCAGCAAAGGAAAACAAAUGAGAUCCAGCCCGGUCUCCGUGGAAGAAGGAAAGCGUGAAACUUCUUGGGAAAACAAGACCCGCACACAAGAGCUGUGAUGACUUGAGGGUGUCAUGUCAACCUUGUCUCAUGUACCAGCUGAACUCAGUGACACGAGCAUCCUGACAGAUGGGAUGUUAUUACUGAACCACCGGGGAGGGUGCCCGGGGCUGACUGUGCUUCGUGUGCCGUGAGGACCCACUUGACCCGAGUGAAGGCAGCAAAAACACCUCGCGUUGGAACCCCAUGCCUGUGUCUGUUACUCCAGUGGUUCUCAAACUUCAGAGUCACCGUCUGAGUCACUGGGGGAUGGAGGGAAGGGGGUUAAAAACAUAGAAGGCCAGGCCCCACCCCCAGAGUUUCGGAUUCAGCAGGCCUGGGGCAUGGCCAGAGAAUCUGCGUUUCUAGCAAGUCCCUAGGUGAUGCUGAUGCUACCGGCUGGGAGAUCACACUUUGACAACACAGGUCUACUCCUGAGCCCGUGUUAACACAAAACUCACCCUCUCCUCUUCUGCUUCUGUGAAGGUGUGGCCUAAGGCACCUCAGUUUCAGAAUGGAAGCCAAAAGAUGGAAUCAACCCAAGUGUCCAUGAACAGAUGAAUGGCUAAGUAAAAUGUGAUAUAAAUACAUAUAUUCAUCUGUCAUAUAUAUAUAUAUGGUGGAAUAUAUAUAUGAUGGAAUAUUAUUCAGCCAUAAAAAGGGAUGAAAUGCUGAUACCUGUUACAACAUGGAUGAAUCUUGAAAACAUUAUGUUAAAUGAAAGAAGUCAGUUACAUAAAGCCACGUGUUGCAUGAUUUCAUUUAUGAAAUGUCUGGAAUAGUGACAGAAAGCAGAUUGGUUGUCGCCAGAAGCCGGAGUAGGAAGGAACGAGGAGUGACUGCUUAUUGGGUUUCUGUUUGGAAUGAUGAACUUCUAAACCUAGACAGUGGUGAUAGCUGCACAACAUUGUGAACCUACUUACUGGGUACCACUGAAUUAUACACUUUGAAAUGAUUAAAAUGGUCAAUAUUAUGUGUAUCUACCAUAAUAAUAAAUUAAAAGAGUUACUGGAGUGCUGUUCUAACUCAAAUUGUGGGAGCCAGUUGAAAAGUUUACAGGAUUAAGAUUGGAAAUGCAAAGGGCCUAAUACCAGUGGGUCUUAGCCUUAUUGAAUGGGGGGGAAAAAAUCACCUGGGGACUUUUUGUAUGAUACCCUUGUCUUAGCCACACGUGAGAACAAUUAAAUUGAAAUCUCUGGAAGUGAGGCCUAGGCAUCAGACAUUUUAAAAUUCAGCCCCAGAUGAUUCUAAUGUACAACUAGGAUUGAGGACACUGGCCUAAAAUCUUGAGGUUCAAAUGGACGCAGACCUAUGUGCAAACUGACUUGGACUUCAUCAUAGACAAUGAACCUCUCAUCUUCUCCCAAAUUUGCUUGGAUGUAGAGAGUAGAAUGAAGAGACUUUGGAAUCAGUUUGAAUAUCAUCUCCACUACCAACUAGCUGUGUGACCGUGAGCAAACCAUAACCUCUCUGAGCAUUGUUUUUGUCAAUGGAGAGUAGAAGUCUGUGUUCUCUGGAAAGAAUACUAUUUCAGUAUUGUAGGAAACAGGUCAGUUUCCUAGUUCUAACAGUGUCAGACGCUGUUUUGUCAUCAUGCAUCUCUGCCUGUCCUAGACUGAGAGGGAGACACAGUGCCAUAUCCUAUAUAAUUAAAGGCCAGUAUGCAAAUUGUCCCCUCUACCUUAGUGUUCGACCAGGGGGCGGGCCACCCGGCCAACCGCCCAUGGCCCCUCCCGCUGGCGGGCCCAGCCAGACCCCACCUGUGCACAAAUUCGUGCACCAGGCCUUUAGUUUAUGUGAAAACCCUAACCCUGUAGUAUCUUGUAUCAUGAAUUCAGUUUUAUCCCCACACCUGAGAGGAGGGGCAUGUGUAGGUUGGGAAUGAGUGAUCAUGCCUCCUGAAUCUGUAAUCUGGAAGCGGAGGAGAUUGUGAGCCUGAUAGAAAUCAUUUUGCCUCAUGCUCAGACUUUCUUUUGUGUAUCAAGCUUUAUAACGAUGUCAAUAUACUUAAAGAUAAAAACUGAUAAAAUUUAUGCACAAAUUCCUGACAGUAAAUAAAAUCAUUUGGAUAUU